GUGGGGAAUAUUGGACAAUGGGGGGAACCCUGAUCCAGCCAUGCCGCGUGUGUGAAGAAGGCCUUUUGGUUGUAAAGCACUUUAAGCGAGGAGGAGGCUACCGAGAUUAAUACUCUUGGAUAGUGGACGUUACUCGCAGAAUAAGCACCGGCUAACUCUGUGCCAGCAGCCGCGGUAAUACAGAGGGUGCAAGCGUUAAUCGGAUUUACUGGGCGUAAAGCGCGCGUAGGUGGCCAAUUAAGUCAAAUGUGAAAUCCCCGAGCUUAACUUGGGAAUUGCAUUCGAUACUGGUUGGCUAGAGUAUGGGAGAGGAUGGUAGAAUUCCAGGUGUAGCGGUGAAAUGCGUAGAGAUCUGGAGGAAUACAGAUGGCGAAGGCAGCCAUCUGGCCUAAUACUGACACUGAGGUGCGAAAGCAUGGGGAGCAAACAGGAUUAGAAACCCGAGUAGUCC
Molecule: ribosomal RNA, 451 nt
Filed under: uncultured bacterium
Lineage: Bacteria
Description: partial 16S ribosomal RNA
Rfam family: Bacterial small subunit ribosomal RNA
Source: RNAcentral